ACUUCCAUUGCUUCAUGAGGGGCAAGUAAUGGUAGCGCCACUGGAUGAAGUUACACAUUUUCUUUCCCUUGUGCACCGGUCAUGAUUCUGAUGAAUAAGAAAGUCAAUGAUCUGAUUUCAAAAGGAUUGUUUGACCAAAUAGUCAAAUUCGUCGGAACUUCCCAACUCCAUUUUCCCGGAAAUCUCGAAUUCCAUGAAAAUGCUUAUUCUUCACUUCUUCCUUCCAUUUUCAAAGCAUGCUCUGUUUCGCCAACCCAAUUCCUUCCUAUCGGAAUUCAAUUCCACGCCGUUUCAAUCAAAACUGGUUCCGACUUGGAAUCGAUUACAUCCAAUUCACUCCUUUCAAUGUAUGCAAAAUCCGGUCAGAUUGAAUAUGCCCGUAAAGUGUUUGAUACAAUGCCUGUAAGAGACAUCAUCACUUGGAAUUCUAUGAUCAUUUCUUAUAUCCAGCAAGGAUAUUUUGUCGAAGCAAUAGAGAAGUUUAAGGACAUGUAUUUGUUGGUUCAUGAACCUAAGAAGCCUGAGUUGGUUGCUAGUGUUCUGUCAGUGUGUGGCAAGACUGGGGAGUUGAGGUUAGGGAGACAAAUUCAUGCACGCAUUGUCUGCGAUGGGAUGAUGACCAGUUCACCAUCUUCCGUUUUUGUAUCCACUGCUCUUGUGGAUAUGUAUUCUAGAUGUUUUGAUGUGUUUACGGCUUUAGAAGUAUUCAGUCAAAUGAUUGAAAGGAAUGAAGUGUCUUGGACAGCUAUGAUAUCCGGGUGUGUUACAAAUGAAAAUUUUAGCAAGUCACUUGAGCUAUUUCGAACAAUGCAGAUUACAGAAGGUAUUGAACCCAACAGAGUUACGCUUAUCGAAGUGUUACCUGCUUGUGCACAUUUCAGUGAUGUGAAGCAGGGGAAACAGAUACAUGGGUAUGCGAUUCGUCAUGGGUUUGAUUCAGAAUCUCGUUUCGAAGCAGCUCUACUAGAUAUGUAUUGUAAAUGUGGAGCGGCAACACUUUUCCAUGCUUCACUUGUUUUCGAGAGAUCAGCGCAGAAGGACGUUGGUAUGUGGAGUUCAAUGAUCAGAUGUUAUUCACAAAAUGGAGAUACAGGAAGCGGUAUGAAGCUUUUCCAACAAAUGAGGAUGGCAGGAACCAGACCAAACUCCGUGACUUUGCUUGCAAUUAUUGAUGCAUGCACUUUUUUGUUGUCAGUGAAGCAUGCUGAAGUAGUCCAUGGGUACAUUGUAAAAUCUGGAUUGAGUUUAUAUGUUUUUGUAGGGAAUUCCCUCAUUGAUAUGUAUGCAAAAUGUGGAUACGUUGAGGCUUCUCGCAAGAUUUUCAGUCAUGAGAUCCAUACAAGAGAUUAUAUAUCUUGGAGUGCCAUCAUCCAUGGUUAUGCUCUCAAUGGGAAUGGCAGAGAAGCUCUGAGGCUAUUCCGCGAAAUGCAAAAGACAGAGAUUGAGAUAGAUGGAAUAACGUUCCUUUCUGCUCUAUCAGCUUGUAACCAUUCCGGACUCAUUGAAGAGGGUCAAGAGCUCUUCAACAGUGUGAUCCAAAAUAAGAGCAUAAGUGUGACAGUAGAGCAUUACGCAUGCUAUAUUGAUAUUCUUGGGCGCUCUGGCAAGCUUGAAGAAGCCUGCCAAGUCUUAAGUAACAUGCCCAUGAAACCCAGUGCGGCAAUUUUGAGCUCUUUGGUAUCAUCUUGUAAGGUCCAUGGUAGACUCAAAAUGGCAGAAGUUCUAGCAAAGUGGCUUAUUGAUUUGGAGCCUGAUAAUGCAGCAAACUAUACCUUACACUCUAUGGUUUCUGCAGAAAUGAAUAACUGGCUCGGAGUUGAAGAAAUAAGGAGAGGUAUGAGAAGCAAAGGACUAAUAAAGUCCUAUGGGUACAGCUGGAUCGAACCUGAUUGCGGAGCUAAACAAAGAGCCAGUAUCUUCUAGCUCAUUCUCUCUUUCUGCAAGUAGUUCUUUGUCUGGCUGAAUCAUUAUUGGCUCCUCUAACAAGAAUUUUUCCAGAGAAAAGGUCACUCUCCAGUUCUGGCUCUGCUGAGCUUGUGGUAUUUGUUAAAGAUGAUGCUGAGCAAGGGACUGACGAAGAGUUUGGUGAUGCAAACCUUGUGGCAACUGCUUUAAUGUCAUUUUUCGAGUAGGAGAUUG
This is an RNA transcript of Papaver somniferum (opium poppy), 2139 nucleotides long. It is a transcript of the gene named pentatricopeptide repeat-containing protein At4g31070, mitochondrial-like, with no coding region annotated. The record is from RefSeq and is a predicted model, not a curated record. The transcript is spliced from 3 exons. Lineage: Eukaryota; Viridiplantae; Streptophyta; Magnoliopsida; Ranunculales; Papaveraceae.